Molecule: long non-coding RNA, 568 nt
Filed under: Manihot esculenta (cassava)
Lineage: Eukaryota; Viridiplantae; Streptophyta; Magnoliopsida; Malpighiales; Euphorbiaceae
Description: long non-coding RNA (MESC_LNC012089)
Source: RNAcentral
AUAGAUCCUUUGCAGAAAAAAUAGGAGAAUCUCGCUGGAAGAAGGAAAUAGACAGAGGGCUGGAAGGAAAGACUCCCUUUCUCCGACAAAGGGCCUAAGAGUGAAGAGGAGUUAACGCUGAUAUAUACUCAAAAUCUGAAGUCUUAGCACAAAGUAAAGUAACUCUAGACUCUAAGCCCACGAUGUCAGGAUCUUUAAAAUAUAUACUCAAAAUCUGAAGUCUUAGCACAAAGUAAAGUAACUCUAGACUCUAAGCCCAUGAUGUCAGGAUCUUUAAAAGAUAUUCAUGGAAAAGGAAAAAAGAGGCAUGUCCAGGCGAUAAUGACAGGAAAGUAAAAAGAGCAGAGUAUACGAGGGGUAAGGAAAGGCCAGAAAGGGAAAAAGGCAGAUAGGAUUCAAGAAAUGAGGAAUGACAAAAAGAUGAAAGGGAGUUAUGAAGGCAUCUACACGUGAACAGGCGCGGUCAUAAUGGUUCUCGAUAUUCACCCCCUCGGCAGUCGGAGCAAUAACUGCCAAGAAGGUGAAGGGGCAAUUGAUGACCGCUGGAUUUCCCUACCCCCAAUCCUGG